This is a long non-coding RNA of Halichondria panicea, 1010 nucleotides long. RefSeq lists it as uncharacterized. NCBI's taxonomy places the organism in Eukaryota, Metazoa, Porifera, Demospongiae, Suberitida, Halichondriidae. The record is from RefSeq and is a predicted model, not a curated record. The transcript is spliced from 3 exons.
CAUAUGCUUCAUAGUUGAACUUCAUGGAAAGCUCUAAGAUGACCCCUGCAGUUGUCUACCGGUGUGUGCUACUGACUGUUGUAUUUGCUGUCCUGCCCCAAUGCACAAGUGCACUGGAUCUAGAGUCCCUAGGAUACACAUCCGCGCUAUCAUUAGAAGCCACUAAUGGAUCGUAUACACAAACACUUCACUUUCAAGUGUGCAGAACUGAUAAUGACACAAACUUUUCAGUGGUAGUUAGAAAAGGAGGCCUAGACAUUGGCAACGCUCGUGUGAAUUACCCAGUUUAUAAGAAAGAAGACAUCACGGUCACGUACAACCAAGAAUGGUUUCCAGACAAGUUUUGCAAGAGAGCCGAUGUCUAUUUACACGAAGGUGACGUGGACAACGGAACAAUCCUACAGUUUGUACUAUAUCAAGCCAACCAGACCACUGCAAAUAUUGUGCGUGAUGUAACAGUGCCCUUCACAGUGGAAGAUGAUAAGUGCACAACAAGUGGAGCAAAAGGUUCUCCUAUGCCAGCAUUGAUGCGUAUCACACUACUGCUUAUUGCUGCCAUGAUCGCCACAUGGUGUAUGUGGUGAGGUUGGUGACUCCUAAAGCAACUGGGGUAUGUUAUAUAUAUAUACACCAUUAAUUAGAACUGCUGAACAUGUAAAGUCUAACGAUGCAUGACCAUAUAAUAUCAUAUGCUGCAGUGGAGGGAGGCUACGUUAUUCGAUAGUUAAACCAUUGCAGUGCUACCACUCUCAAUGCAUGUGAGUACAUCUCAUACAAACACACACACACACACAGAAAGAUGGACUCUCGCUCACAUUAUGAAGAACAUUUGAUUUCUUAUACUCUAGUGCCUGAUGCACUCUGUUCAGUAGAAAUGUUUAGCAACACAGUAUCAUGUAUAAUGUUUGGCUUAGAGAAUAACCUUCCUGUUAUCUAUCACAAUCGGACACUAAUAAGAAUCAUGUUUAUGUUAUUUGUGUUAUUCGUGUGUGCUAUACUAUAUGAAUUGA